RNAcentral lists this long non-coding RNA (236 nucleotides) under Ricinus communis (castor bean). RNAcentral describes it as "long non-coding RNA (RCOM_LNC001587)". The record is from RNAcentral. Lineage: Eukaryota; Viridiplantae; Streptophyta; Magnoliopsida; Malpighiales; Euphorbiaceae.
AUGGGGCCGCAUGAAUCGGAUAUGAAGUAUUUAGUCUUAGAGGCUGCAGGCAAAAAGAUGAAGCAUUGAGUAUGCGGCCGGGGUGCCGAAGCAUCAGCAUUUUAAAAGUCUCUUCAUCCACUGCCACAUCUCGCAUUAUGAACAUAAUGCUUAUACGGGCUACUAUUUUAUAAGAGAUGCAGGAAAUGAUAUAGUAGUAGAGGGCAACAAUGUAAUGGCAGAUGCAGGAAGGAAGA